CCUACGGGUGGCAGCAGUAGGGAAUAUUGCACAAUGGGCGAAAGCCUGAUGCAGCAACGCCGCGUGCGCGAUGAAGGCCUUCGGGUCGUAAAGCGCUUUUCGGGGAGAUGAGGAAGGACAGUAUCCCCGGAAUAAGUCUCGGCUAACUACGUGCCAGCAGCCGCGGUAAAACGUAGGAGGCAAGCGUUAUCCGAAUUUACUGGGCGUAAAGCGCGUGCAGGCGGUUCGGUAAGUUGGAUGUGAAAUCUCCUGGCUCAACUGGGAGAGGUCGUUCAAUACUGUCGGACUAGAGGAUGGCAGAGGGAGGUGGAAUUCCCGGUGUAGUGGUGAAAUGCGUAGAUAUCGGGAGGAACACCAGUGGCGAGGGCGGCCCCCUGGACCAUUCCUGACGCUCAGACGCGAAAGCUAGGGGAGCGAACGGGAUUAGAUACCCCUGUAGU
RNAcentral lists this ribosomal RNA (440 nucleotides) under uncultured Anaerolineae bacterium. Its description in RNAcentral is "partial 16S ribosomal RNA". It matches the Rfam family "Bacterial small subunit ribosomal RNA", at positions 338 to 794 of the family's 1533-position model. The record is from RNAcentral. Lineage: Bacteria; Bacillati; Chloroflexota; Anaerolineae.